Molecule: ribosomal RNA, 775 nt
Filed under: uncultured Neocallimastigales
Lineage: Eukaryota; Fungi; Neocallimastigomycota; Neocallimastigomycetes; Neocallimastigales
Description: partial large subunit ribosomal RNA
Rfam family: Eukaryotic large subunit ribosomal RNA
Source: RNAcentral
UACGACUACAUAUCAGGCAUAUCAAUAAGCGGAGGAAAAGAAACUAACUAGGAUUCCCUCAGUAACGGCGAGUGAAGCGGGAAGAGCUCAAAUUUGAAAUCUUCAAGGUUCUACCUUGACGAAUUGUAGUUUAAAGAAGUGUUUUCUGUUGGAGUUUUGGUAAAAGUUCUUUGGAAUAGGACAUCAUAGAGGGUGAGAAUCCCGUAUUUGACCAUUAUUUCCAGCUUUGUGAUACACUUUCAAAGAGUCGGAUUGUUUGGGAAUGCAGUCCAAAAUGGGUGGUAAAUUUCAUCUAAAGCUAGAUAUUGGCGAGAGACCGAUAGCGAACAAGUACCGUGAGGGAAAGAUGAAAAGAACCUUUGAAAAGAGAGUUAAACAGUACGUGAAAUUGUCAAAAGGGAAGCGUUUGACACCAGUGUUGUUUUCUCGAAAAUCAAUUAAAAAAGGCAGGAUUUUGUGUUGUAUUGACUUUAUCAGCUUUCUGCACUCUUUUCUUGUCUUUUUUAAUGCACUUUUCGUUUAACAAGUCAACAUCAAUUUCUUUUGUUGUAAAAGGGUCAUUGGAAGGUGGCUUUCUUUUCGGAGAAAGUGUUUAUAGCCUUUGGCCUCUGCAAUCGGAGAGAUUGAGGUCUGCAGCGUAGAUCCUUCGGGGUUAGAUACAUUUGUGCUAAGUUAUAGCCUUUCAUAGACAACUUGUUGACUAUGAUCAGUCAUGUAGCUUACUCGCUUAUGCUAUUUUACCUACGCUUAGGAUGUUGAGCGCAUGUCUCUCUCU